CUCAAUAAAAAGUGAGCACUGC
Molecule: non-coding RNA, 22 nt
Filed under: Rattus norvegicus (Norway rat)
Lineage: Eukaryota; Metazoa; Chordata; Mammalia; Rodentia; Muridae
Source: RNAcentral